Molecule: long non-coding RNA, 1584 nt
Organism: Herpailurus yagouaroundi (jaguarundi)
Lineage: Eukaryota; Metazoa; Chordata; Mammalia; Carnivora; Felidae
Exons: 2
Source: RefSeq, a predicted model, not a curated record
CGAGCCUCACGCAAGAGAGGUGAACUCGCCGCGGUGGAACAGCUAACACCGAGACCCUGGGGUCCUAGCAGAGGCCCUCCGGUGGCCCGUGCCACCCCGGGGCGGGCGAGCUCAACGGAGCAGGGCUUGGCAGGGGCAGAGGCGGGGAUGAGCUGGGCCUCUGCGCCCCCGCGGCCCACAGCUGCCUCCCUGUCUGAAUUCCAACGCCCACUGAGCUCCCCGGGCUUCGGGGUGCCCCGUGUCGAGCCCCGCUUGCUGCCCCAGGCGGAGAAGGCACUCUCUUCCCUGCUCUGUUUCUCGCUGAAGGCAGCCUUUGCUGUUUCCGGCCACAGCUGGAGCUGUUUACCAUCUUCCAACUCUCACGAAGAAAGCAAAAACUAUCACUUAGACACAGCCAUUGAAAAUCAGCAUCGUACGUGGAUUUCUUCACGUAAAUAAAUCACACGAAGCGAGACUCGUGUUCUCCGAGUGACGUCAUCCGCUGAAGGCCGCCUCCCCCGUCAGAUCAGCGUUGGGCGCUUUCCUCCUCGUGCGGGCGCCCUUUUCGCAAGACCAGGGCCCGGCCUCGGGCUCGGCCCGGGACGCCGGAAAGGUCCCUGCCUGGGUCAGCCCGGCACGACCGGGUCCAGAGGGCGGAAACAGUUCCAACUCCACAGACUGCUCGGAAGCUUUGCUUUGGAACCAUAGGUUCUGAGGUUGAAAGGCCGUGAACGCGUCCGGAAGAAACGUGUGCAGCGCCCAGCGGAAGGUGAAGGCCCUUUGGGUCCUUCCGGAGCCGACGGUGACGCUGGCUGCGGCGUCAUCCCCUUGAAAUGAACGAGGAACCGGAAAAUCACCGGGAAGGCUCCCAGGAGAUGUGGCGCAUUUGGCCACGAGAAGGGACAAAGUCCUGACCCGUGCCACAACGCGUAUGACCUCGGAAACAUUAUUCUCGGUGAAAGAAACUAGUCACGAGGCCACGUGUUGUCUGGGUCCAUUUACAAGAAGCGUCUAGGACAGGAAAGUCCGCAGAGACAGAAGGUGGAGGGGUGGCUGACGGGGGCUGGGGGAGGAGUGGGGGGGGUGACUGUUGACGGACGUGGGUCUCCUUCUGCUGGGUGAGGACCGUGUUCUGGAACCAGCUGGCUGUACUCAAUGCUAUCACACCGUUCGCUGUAAGACGGUAAAUGUUAUGCUGUGUGGACUGGAUCUCAAUACAUCCGUUAUUUUGCAAAGUCACCGCUGAGCGUGCACGUUUCAAACCUCCGCGCCCAUCUCGAAACCCUUAUUAAAUUCGGGACUGAGCACACAGCAGGUAGGGCAGGUGACGGGGGUGUGCUCCCCGUGAAGGGAUCCGUGAGCGCUGGCCAGGCACCUCGGUGAAGCCUAAAGGCACGGCCCCUUUCCUCGGGGCUGGCUGUGCGGCCCCUUCCCCUCAGUCUGUCUCCUUCCCACCAGCCCGGAGGGAACCCCUACCCGGCAUUUUGCGUUAAGCAUCUCCUUGCCUCAGUUUACAGCGUCUUCACCCAACACAGGUGCAGAGUCGAGCUGCAGCGUCCGUUCAGCACGAAAAUGAGUGAGACGCAUUAAAAUCACCAUAAAAGG